CGGACGGGUGAGUAAUGUCUGGGAAACUGCCCGAUGGAGGGGGAUAACUACUGGAAACGGUAGCUAAUACCGCAUAACGUCGCAAGACCAAAGAGGGGGACCUUCGGGCCUCUUGCCAUCGGAUGUGCCCAGAUGGGAUUAGCUAGUAGGUGGGGUAACGGCUCACCUAGGCGACGAUCCCUAGCUGGUCUGAGAGGAUGACCAGCCACACUGGGACUGAGACACGGUCCAG
Molecule: ribosomal RNA, 232 nt
Filed under: uncultured bacterium
Lineage: Bacteria
Description: partial 16S ribosomal RNA
Rfam family: Bacterial small subunit ribosomal RNA
Source: RNAcentral